UACGUAGGGGGCUAGCGUUGUCCGGAAUCAUUGGGCGUAAAGAGCGUGUAGGCGGCCCGGUAAGUCCGCUGUGAAAGUCGGGAGCUCAACCCUGGAAUGCCGGUGGAUACUGUCGGGCUAGAGUGCGGAAGAGGCGAGUGGAAUUCCUGGUGUAGCGGUGAAAUGCGCAGAUAUCAGGAGGAACACCGAUUGCGAAGGCAGCUCGCUGGGACGUCACUGACGCUGAGACGCGAAAGCGUGGGGAGCAAACAGG
RNAcentral lists this ribosomal RNA (253 nucleotides) under uncultured bacterium. RNAcentral describes it as "partial 16S ribosomal RNA". It matches the Rfam family "Bacterial small subunit ribosomal RNA", at positions 524 to 776 of the family's 1533-position model. The record is from RNAcentral.